This 82-nucleotide transfer RNA is filed under the name Gammaproteobacteria bacterium CG_4_10_14_0_2_um_filter_38_22. RNAcentral describes it as "tRNA-Leu". It matches the Rfam family "tRNA". From Rfam's summary of the family: Transfer RNA (tRNA) molecules are approximately 80 nucleotides in length. Their secondary structure includes four short double-helical elements and three loops (D, anti-codon, and T loops). Further hydrogen bonds mediate the characteristic L-shaped molecular structure. tRNAs have two regions of fundamental functional importance: the anti-codon, which is responsible for specific mRNA codon recognition, and the 3' end, to which the tRNAs corresponding amino acid is attached (by aminoacyl-tRNA synthetases). tRNAs cope with the degeneracy of the genetic code in two manners: having more than one tRNA (with a specific anti-codon) for a particular amino acid; and 'wobble' base-pairing, i.e. permitting non-standard base-pairing at the 3rd anti-codon position. The record is from RNAcentral. RNAcentral also lists the same sequence under 2 other names. Lineage: Bacteria; Pseudomonadati; Pseudomonadota; Gammaproteobacteria.
GCCGGGGUGGUGGAAUUGGUAGACACGCAGCCUUGAGGUGGCUGUGGCGCAAGCCGUGACGGUUCGAGUCCGUUCCUCGGUA